This 305-nucleotide ribosomal RNA is filed under the name uncultured bacterium. RNAcentral's name for it is "bacterial SSU rRNA". It matches the Rfam family "Bacterial small subunit ribosomal RNA", at positions 337 to 634 of the family's 1533-position model. The record is from RNAcentral.
ACCUACGGGGCGCAGCAGUAGGGAAUCUUCCACAAUGAGCGAAAGCCUGAUGGAGCAACGCCGCGUGGGUGAAGAAGGUCUUCGGAUCGUAAAACCCUGUUGUUAGUGAAGAAAGUGCGUGAGAGUAACUGUUCACGUUUCGACGGUAUCUAACCAGAAAGCCACGGCUAACUACGUGCCAGCAGCCGCGGUAAUACGUAGGUGGCAAGCGUUAUCCGGAUUUAUUGGGCGUAAAGGGAACGCAGGCGGUCUUUUAAGUCUGAUGUGAAAGCCUUCGGCUUAACCGGAGUAGUGCAUUGGAAACU